GAGAAGAAACAGGUGCGAGAAGGAAAAACUUUUAGUAUUACUGCCAGUAACGACAACCAAAGUAAGGACUACAAGAAGACUUCAACAAGGGAAGAAGAAAAAACAAGAAGAAACAGUUAUUCAAGAACCACCAAAAUCUUUUCCCUGUUAGCGACAAACAACUUGUUUUAUUUGAGUCUCAUAACAGCGGGAUCAAGAU
Molecule: long non-coding RNA, 199 nt
Organism: Harpegnathos saltator (Jerdon's jumping ant)
Lineage: Eukaryota; Metazoa; Arthropoda; Insecta; Hymenoptera; Formicidae
Exons: 3
Source: RefSeq, a predicted model, not a curated record